Molecule: long non-coding RNA, 3297 nt
Filed under: Nicotiana tabacum (common tobacco)
Lineage: Eukaryota; Viridiplantae; Streptophyta; Magnoliopsida; Solanales; Solanaceae
Description: long non-coding RNA (NTAB_LNC001414)
Source: RNAcentral
CCAAAAGUCACACCCUUCGUGCAAGUAAUCUACCGUCUCUUUCCCUUCUUUCUCCCAAUCUAAUUGGUUACAUACUUUCUAUAUUGAUCCGACGGACCCAUUUCCGUGACCCAACCCAUUAAUUUUCUUCAGGCCAUUUGAUUUUGAGCUCUCUCUUAUACCACUCUGCCGCCCUUUCGAAUCAUCUUUUUGACGGUUCGGAGUCGCAGUAUUUCGGGUCCCUUUGAUUGCAACGUAAUUUCCUUUCUCUUCUUUCUUCAUGAUUCAUGUACAAUGUUCAGUUUUCUAUCUAUUUGAAAUUAAGAUCUACUAGUUCUUUAUUAGUAUGCAUGUAAUAUUAUAAUGAUUAAUUAAUUAAUUGACAGUUGAUGCAUUUCCCUACCCACACAGAUGAAUGAUGUGAAUUCGUUAAUUGAAAACUAUUGCUUAUUAAUAAGUAUUCCAAAAUUUAUGUCCUACAGUUGCAAAAACACACGACGUAUUUCUUUCUCUUUCCGGUUUGCGACAUUCAUUAGUAUAUAGUAGUAAUAAUAAUGGUUAAUGGAUUAUAUUUAUUUGUUGAUGUUGUGCUUUCGGGUAACUAGGUUUACAAUUGAAAAUUGUUGAUGAAGAUGAACUAUCAAUAAGAGAAUUUCAAUAUUGCUGGUUCUGUUAGCCUUGAACGAUCCAAAAAUAGUGAACCCCUUCCAAUUGGUAAAUGUAAAGUAAUAUCUUUUACUUCCGAGCUUUCGCUUUAAUUAAUUCAUAACUGAUGUUAUUCAGAAUUGAUAUAUUGUUGUGUUUACCUGAUAACUGCUGUAAUGAAUGGAAAGAAUUUACGUAAAAUAAAGACCUAUUAUGUCUCAUUGGUGUAUAAGUAGCUACCAGGAUCUCUGCUUAAGUGCUUAAAUUGCAAGAAGCAAUUCUUCUUUUUGGCUUGUUUAUAAGGAAGGUUUAAUCUUUUGCUUUCUUUAGCGUUCAUAUGAUUGUACUUAUAUAUUUAUUAAUAUUCUUACCUGCUUUAGUACAAUCCUGCGUGUAAAAUUAUUCAUAUUGAAAUUAUUUUUUUAAUGUUAAUACAAUUUUGCGCAAGUUACACCAUCUGCUUUUGAUUCUACUAUUUAAAAGUUAGACGAUCUUCAGCUUGAUUGCUCAAUGACUUUAUUUUCAAACAAUCAGAACAAAGAACUCUUGAAGUGUAAAGUAAUCCCUGGACAUUUUGACAAGCUAUUCAGAGUUUCAUUUUCUCGAUCACUCUGAUCAGUUUUUCUGAUAGUUUUUUCUCCCUUGACCCUUGCAAGCCCUUCCUUUCAUUUAUGUAAGAAUAGUGAUUCCUACGAGUCUGAAGCCUUGACUCGGGAAAAAGUUCACUACUCCAUCUCCAAAUGGAUUGGUCGCAUCCUUUUUGUUUCUACAAUAAAGUUAAGCUUUUUGUCUCCUUUAUACUAAUUUGAUUGCUUUCAUAAAGUUUAAGAUAUUUUUUGUUAUAUUAGCAGAUUAGUGAUGGACAUGUCUUUCUUUUAGGGUUGUCUAAAUAAAUUAAGGCAAAUUUGUUAAUUAUUUGAGAGUUUCUUGUCCUUAGAUAUCUGAUUUUGUUAUCCCUUUACAAUAUCCCUCCUAAAAUUAGUUUAAGACAGAUUUUCCCAUAUCAAAUCUUAUAAUCUAGCUAAGGCUAAUAAUUUUUUUUCCUGAACAAAUUUUUAGCCACUAACUUUUACAGGGGAAAGUUGGAGUUUGAUUAGGUUUUGAGUAUUGUUGAGAUUGCUUUGAUAGAUAAAAGAUCAUUUUAUUACCAUUACAUCACCAUUAAGAGUGUGCCUAAAUCUUACUAGGGAUGUGUAGCAUUGACUUCAAAUUUAUAGAAGCACAAAAAAACUAUAAUACACAUAAUUUUCCCAACAUAUGCAGAACCUAUAAAAUUUGGUAUACUUUGUUUUCCAGUAGUAAAAGUCCACAGAAAUUAGGAUUGGGACUCAAUCUAACAUUACAAAAAGGAUUUGGUGAUAUCAAUUGAAACUGCUGUGUAUGUGCAUUUUGUGCUUACAACGAAUCUCAAGAAAGCUAUCAUAUGUCAAGGAUUUUUGUCUGGACAUUGACAGGACAUUUAGCAGCUCCAGACAAUCACUCCGUUGCCAAUCCUGGUGAAUGGUGUACUUGCGGCUGAGGGUGGUAUUCUCUUUUAUUAUUCAGUCCUAUAGUCGGGUAUUAGUGGUGAAACAACUUUUCAACCUCGGAUCAGCAGCUAUGCUUGCUAUUCAGACUGGGACAACUGGUAUCAUUGUGUGCUCACUAACUCGAUUUUGUGCCUCUGAAAAUCAUGGCUCUUGAAGAGGUAUGUAACUUGCUUCUAACUUAGUACUUAUUCUUUUUGUCUCAUGUUACCUAAUUUUGGUGUUCAUGUAAUUCCAUUUUUUAGAGGGUGCGGACUAAAUUAUUUUUGCUUAGGUAAUUAGGAAUAAGAAUGAAUUGACAUGGAUAUUAUUAUAUACUCAAUUUUUCUCUGAAUAUUUUAUUCUGAGCUUGAUAUAAAUCUUCUUAUAGAAGUGUUCUUUAGAAGUUUUGUUAGGAUGAAACUUAGUUCAAAUUUUUAUUUCAUAUUGUUAACUUUCUGUGAGUCAUAACUAAAUUUGAGAUGUUUCCAUAGUCUUCUUUAUUUUUGUUACCUGAAUGAUGAAAGUAGUGAGCAACUUCAAAGUUUAAGCAUUAAAUAUGGCAAAUAGUAUGUUGACUUUGGGAAUGUUGACUGCGACUGUGGCUUUUUGCAAUGAUUAGGUGACUUUUUUGGUCUAAGUAUCUUGGAUGAUCGUUCAUUUUUGGAUAUUAUAAUUAUAUAUUGACUUCUAAUUCAAGUUAUUAUUUUCUAUUUUGCUUCUUCGAUAAAUUUUCUGAAUUCAGAACUUCCGUCAUUUUUAUCCAGAUGAUUGGUCAUAGACAAUAUUUUGCAGCGGGCAAAAUAUGAAUUUUCCCUUUGGUGCUCGUAAUUUCUUGCUUGAUGGUCAUUAUGAAAGCAUAGUAUUUUUGUAACAACUAUUGAGAUUAGCUCGAAACUGGAAAAAUCAAGCUCAUGCAAGACCUCCAAUGGAGGUUCUCGAGAGUUCUAAGAGAGCAGAGAGAGAGAGAGAGUAAAGAAUAGAAUGUGAAAUGAUAUUCUGCUUAAUUGCAAAGUGUGUAUAUAUGUACAUGUACACGUAUGACAGCUAAUACAACUAGACUAAUUGUAUAACUACUGUAUAACUACUACAACUAAUAGUGUAUAGUUACAUGCUGACUCAGCACAUAUAUGUACAACUACACAAUAAUUUAAGACUCUCAAUAUCC